UACAGAGGGUGCAAGCGUUAAUCGGAAUUACUGGGCGUAAAGCGUGCGUAGACGGUUAUGUAAGUCAGGUGUGAAAGCCCCGGGCUCAACCUGGGAAUGCCAUUUGAGACUGCAUAGCUAGGGUACGGAAGAGGGAAGCGGAAUUUCAGGUGUAGCGGUGAAAUGCGUAGAUAUCGUAAGGAAGACCAGUGGCGAAGGCGGGUCUCUGGACAGUUCCUGACGCUGAGGCACGAAGGUCAGGGGAGCAAACGGG
This 253-nucleotide ribosomal RNA is filed under the name uncultured bacterium. Its description in RNAcentral is "partial 16S ribosomal RNA". It matches the Rfam family "Bacterial small subunit ribosomal RNA", at positions 524 to 776 of the family's 1533-position model. The record is from RNAcentral.